RNAcentral lists this transfer RNA (65 nucleotides) under Dipodomys ordii (Ord's kangaroo rat). It matches the Rfam family "tRNA". From Rfam's summary of the family: Transfer RNA (tRNA) molecules are approximately 80 nucleotides in length. Their secondary structure includes four short double-helical elements and three loops (D, anti-codon, and T loops). The record is from Rfam by way of RNAcentral. Lineage: Eukaryota; Metazoa; Chordata; Mammalia; Rodentia; Heteromyidae.
GGUGACUCAAUGGCAGAGUGCUUGCCUUGCAUGCAUGAGGCCCUAGGUUCAAUUCCUCAGCACCA